CUGGCACCUUCGGUGUCCGAGUUGUAAUUUGAAGAAGGUAACUUUGGAGUUGGCUCUUGUCUAUGUUCCUUGGAACAGGACGUCACAGAGGGUGAGAAUCCCGUGCGAUGAGAUGUCCAACUCUAUGUAAAGUGCUUUCGAAGAGUCGAGUUGUUUGGGAAUGCAGCUCUAAGUGGGUGGUAAAUUCCAUCUAAAGCUAAAUAUUGGCGAGAGACCGAUAGCGAACAAGUACAGUGAUGGAAAGAUGAAAAGAACUUUGAAAAGAGAGUGAAAAAGUACGUGAAAUUGUUGAAAGGGAAGGGUUUGAGAUCAGACUUGGUAUUUUGUAUGUCUUGCUUUCGGGUGGGGCCUCUGCAGUUUACUGGGCCAGCAUCGGUUUGGACGGUAGGAUAAUGACAUUGGAAUGUGGCACUACUUCGGUGGUGUGUUAUAGACUUUGUUGAUA
RNAcentral lists this ribosomal RNA (445 nucleotides) under Scheffersomyces shehatae. RNAcentral's name for it is "eukaryotic LSU rRNA". It matches the Rfam family "Eukaryotic large subunit ribosomal RNA", at positions 122 to 574 of the family's 3401-position model. Lineage: Eukaryota; Fungi; Ascomycota; Pichiomycetes; Serinales; Debaryomycetaceae. The record is from RNAcentral.